Molecule: ribosomal RNA, 508 nt
Filed under: uncultured bacterium
Lineage: Bacteria
Description: partial 16S ribosomal RNA
Rfam family: Bacterial small subunit ribosomal RNA
Source: RNAcentral
AUUGAACGCUGGCGGCAUGCCUUACACAUGCAAGUCGAACGGCAGCGGGGGAGAAGCUUGCUUUUCCUGCCGGCGAGUGGCGAACGGGUGAGUAAUACAUCGGAACGUGCCCUGUAGUGGGGGAUAACUAGUCGAAAGAUUAGCUAAUACCGCAUACGACCUGAGGGUGAAAGUGGGGGACCGCAAGGCCUCAUGCUAUAGGAGCGGCCGAUGUCUGAUUAGCUAGUUGGUGGGGUAAAGGCCUACCAAGGCGACGAUCAGUAGCUGGUUUGAGAGGACGAUGAGCCACACUGGGACUGGGACACGGCCCAGACUCCUACGGGAGGCAGCAGUGGGGAAUUUUGGACAAUGGGCGAAAGCCUGAUCCAGCAAUGCCGCGUGUGUGAAGAAGGCCUUCGGGUUGUAAAGCACUUUUGUCCGGAAAGAAAUGGCUCUGGUUAAUACCUGGGGUCGAUGACGGUACCGGAAGAAUAAGGACCGGCUAACUACGUGCCAGCAGCCGCGGUAA